UACGUAGGGGGCUAGCGUUGUCCGGAAUCACUGGGCUUAAAGCGUGUGUAGGCGGGGCGUUAAGUGUCUUGUGAAAUCCCCCGGCUCAACCGGGGAAUGGCUGGGCAUACUGGCGAUCUUGAGCAGUCUAGGGGCAGAUGGAACAGACGGUGGAGCGGUGAAAUGCGUAGAUAUCGUCUGGAACGCCAAAGGUGAAAACAGUCUGCUGGGGACUUGCUGACGCUGAGACACGAAAGCCAGGGGAGCGAACGGG
This 253-nucleotide ribosomal RNA is filed under the name uncultured bacterium. RNAcentral's name for it is "partial 16S ribosomal RNA". It matches the Rfam family "Bacterial small subunit ribosomal RNA", at positions 524 to 776 of the family's 1533-position model. The record is from RNAcentral.